Molecule: ribosomal RNA, 253 nt
Filed under: uncultured bacterium
Lineage: Bacteria
Description: partial 16S ribosomal RNA
Rfam family: Bacterial small subunit ribosomal RNA
Source: RNAcentral
UACGGAGGGUGCAAGCGUUAUCCGGAUUCACUGGGUUUAAAGGGAGCGCAGGCGGAUUUGUAAGUCAGUGGUGAAAGGCUUAAGCUUAACUUGGGAACUGCCAUUGAUACUAUAAGUCUUGAAUGUUGUUGAGGUUUGCGGAAUGGGUCAUGUAGCGGUGAAAUGCAUAGAUAUGACCCGGAACACCUAUUGCGAAGGCAGCAGGCUGAACAAAUAUUGACGCUGAGGCUCGAAAGCGUGGGGAUCAAACAGG